This 392-nucleotide long non-coding RNA is filed under the name Sarcophilus harrisii (Tasmanian devil). RNAcentral's name for it is "lncRNA (ENSSHAG00000020889.1)". The record is from RNAcentral. Lineage: Eukaryota; Metazoa; Chordata; Mammalia; Dasyuromorphia; Dasyuridae.
GUGACUAUCUCCUCUGCUACUGGUAUUUUGUCAGCAAUUGGUAUUGGUGACUAUGAGGGAGAUGUGUCCUUUCUCCACAGUAACUGUUCCCCUCAAUGACUAAGGAUCUCAGGAUAGAAGCAAGAUAAGCAGAGGGAAGAGGAAAGAGAGGAAGAGGUUGUGCUUUUCCCAAGGCUUUUAGAUUCAAGAUUUUGUAUUAUCUUCAUCACAAUAAAAAGAAAAAUAAUAAUGAGAUAAUGGUAUCCUGGUUCAGGCCCUCAUCAUCUCAUCCCUGGACUACUACAACAGCCUGACAGUUGUAACAUCUCCCUGCUUCAAGUCUUGCUCCACUCCAACCUAGCUUCCACUCAGCUGUCAAAGUAAUUUUCUAGCAUACAGCUUUCUCAACUGAG